UAGUACGGCGAGUGAAGAGGGAAAAGCUCAAAGUUGGAACCUGGCUGCCCUAGGCAGUCCGGAUUGUAAACUAAAGAGCGUGAUUCCAGGCAAGCCGGUUGACCAAGUCCUUUGGAAUGAGGCGCCACUGAGGGUGAGAGCCCCGUAAGUCGACUGAGCAUUUGUCUUUUGUGCUUCGCGUUCAAAGAGUCAGGUUGUUUGGGAAUGCAGCCUAAAGCUGGUGGUAAAUCCCACCUAAAGCUAAAUACAGGCGAGAGACCGAUAGCGAACAAGUACCGUGAGGGAAAGAUGAAAAGAACUUUGAAAAGAGAGUUAAACAGUAUGUGAAAUUGCCAAGAGGGAAGCAUUUGGAGUUAGAUUGACUAGGAGUUAAUCAGCUUGGUCUUUGGACUGGGUGUACUUGACUUCUUACAGUCUGCCAAUAGCAGUUAGUCCUAGUGGAAAAAACCAGAGGGAAGGUAGUCCUUCGGGAUGUUUAUAGACCUUUGGAAAAUACACUGGGAUUGACUGAGGAAUGCAGUAGAUGCCACUAAGGCUUCGUCUAGUGGGUGCUAGGCAAAGGUACUUGGUAUUUUCAGCUUGCUGAUGUGCUAGGUUACUCGAGUCUAGUCGCCUACUAGAACUGUAAUCUACUUUGGUUAUUGGCUUAAUGACUCUAAAUGGC
Molecule: ribosomal RNA, 664 nt
Filed under: Lichtheimia hongkongensis
Lineage: Eukaryota; Fungi; Mucoromycota; Mucoromycetes; Mucorales; Lichtheimiaceae
Description: eukaryotic LSU rRNA
Rfam family: Eukaryotic large subunit ribosomal RNA
Source: RNAcentral